GUCCAACUGACGAGUUCCAAAUAGGACGAAACACGCGUCCUGGAU
Schistosoma haematobium is the source of this 45-nucleotide non-coding RNA. The record is from Rfam. NCBI's taxonomy places the organism in Eukaryota, Metazoa, Platyhelminthes, Trematoda, Strigeidida, Schistosomatidae.